UUAAGCGACUAAGCGUACACGGUGGAUGCCCUGGCAGUCAGAGGCGAUGAAGGACGUGCUAAUCUGCGAUAAGCGUCGGUAAGGUGAUAUGAACCGUUAUAACCGGCGAUUUCCGAAUGGGGAAACCCAGUGUGUUUCGACACACUAUCAUUAACUGAAUCCAUAGGUUAAUGAGGCGAACCGGGGGAACUGAAACAUCUAAGUACCCCGAGGAAAAGAAAUCAACCGAGAUUCCCCCAGUAGCGGCGAGCGAACGGGGAGGAGCCCAGAGCCUGAAUCAGUGUGUGUGUUAGUGGAAGCGUCUGGAAAGGCGCGCGAUACAGGGUGACAGCCCCGUACACAAAAAUGCACAUACUGUGAGCUCGAUGAGUAGGGCGGGACACGUGGUAUCCUGUCUGAAUAUGGGGGGACCAUCCUCCAAGGCUAAAUACUCCUGACUGACCGAUAGUGAACCAGUACCGUGAGGGAAAGGCGAAAAGAACCCCGGCGAGGGGAGUGAAAAAGAACCUGAAACCGUGUACGUACAAGCAGUGGGAGCCUCUUUAUGGGGUGACUGCGUACCUUUUGUAUAAUGGGUCAGCGACUUAUAUUCUGUAGCAAGGUUAACCGAAUAGGGGAGCCGAAGGGAAACCGAGUCUUAACUGGGCGUUAAGUUGCAGGGUAUAGACCCGAAACCCGGUGAUCUAGCCAUGGGCAGGUUGAAGGUUGGGUAACACUAACUGGAGGACCGAACCGACUAAUGUUGAAAAAUUAGCGGAUGACUUGUGGCUGGGGGUGAAAGGCCAAUCAAACCGGGAGAUAGCUGGUUCUCCCCGAAAGCUAUUUAGGUAGCGCCUCGUGAAUUCAUCUCCGGGGGUAGAGCACUGUUUCGGCAAGGGGGUCAUCCCGACUUACCAACCCGAUGCAAACUGCGAAUACCGGAGAAUGUUAUCACGGGAGACACACGGCGGGUGCUAACGUCCGUCGUGAAGAGGGAAACAACCCAGACCGCCAGCUAAGGUCCCAAAGUCAUGGUUAAGUGGGAAACGAUGUGGGAAGGCCCAGACAGCCAGGAUGUUGGCUUAGAAGCAGCCAUCAUUUAAAGAAAGCGUAAUAGCUCACUGGUCGAGUCGGCCUGCGCGGAAGAUGUAACGGGGCUAAACCAUGCACCGAAGCUGCGGCAGCGACGCUUAUGCGUUGUUGGGUAGGGGAGCGUUCUGUAAGCCUGCGAAGGUGUACUGUGAGGUAUGCUGGAGGUAUCAGAAGUGCGAAUGCUGACAUAAGUAACGAUAAAGCGGGUGAAAAGCCCGCUCGCCGGAAGACCAAGGGUUCCUGUCCAACGUUAAUCGGGGCAGGGUGAGUCGACCCCUAAGGCGAGGCCGAAAGGCGUAGUCGAUGGGAAACAGGUUAAUAUUCCUGUACUUGGUGUUACUGCGAAGGGGGGACGGAGAAGGCUAUGUUGGCCGGGCGACGGUUGUCCCGGUUUAAGCGUGUAGGCUGGUUUUCCAGGCAAAUCCGGAAAAUCAAGGCUGAGGCGUGAUGACGAGGCACUACGGUGCUGAAGCAACAAAUGCCCUGCUUCCAGGAAAAGCCUCUAAGCAUCAGGUAACAUCAAAUCGUACCCCAAACCGACACAGGUGGUCAGGUAGAGAAUACCAAGGCGCUUGAGAGAACUCGGGUGAAGGAACUAGGCAAAAUGGUGCCGUAACUUCGGGAGAAGGCACGCUGAUAUGUAGGUGAAGCGACUUGCUCGUGGAGCUGAAAUCAGUCGAAGAUACCAGCUGGCUGCAACUGUUUAUUAAAAACACAGCACUGUGCAAACACGAAAGUGGACGUAUACGGUGUGACGCCUGCCCGGUGCCGGAAGGUUAAUUGAUGGGGUUAGCGCAAGCGAAGCUCUUGAUCGAAGCCCCGGUAAACGGCGGCCGUAACUAUAACGGUCCUAAGGUAGCGAAAUUCCUUGUCGGGUAAGUUCCGACCUGCACGAAUGGCGUAAUGAUGGCCAGGCUGUCUCCACCCGAGACUCAGUGAAAUUGAACUCGCUGUGAAGAUGCAGUGUACCCGCGGCAAGACGGAAAGACCCCGUGAACCUUUACUAUAGCUUGACACUGAACAUUGAGCCUUGAUGUGUAGGAUAGGUGGGAGGCUUUGAAGUGUGGACGCCAGUCUGCAUGGAGCCGGCCUUGAAAUACCACCCUUUAAUGUUUGAUGUUCUAACGUUGGCCCCUGAUCGGGGUUGCGGACAGUGUCUGGUGGGUAGUUUGACUGGGGCGGUCUCCUCCUAAAGAGUAACGGAGGAGCACGAAGGUUGGCUAAUCCUGGUCGGACAUCAGGAGGUUAGUGCAAUGGCAUAAGCCAGCUUGACUGCGAGCGUGACGGCGCGAGCAGGUGCGAAAGCAGGUCAUAGUGAUCCGGUGGUUCUGAAUGGAAGGGCCAUCGCUCAACGGAUAAAAGGUACUCCGGGGAUAACAGGCUGAUACCGCCCAAGAGUUCAUAUCGACGGCGGUGUUUGGCACCUCGAUGUCGGCUCAUCACAUCCUGGGGCUGAAGUAGGUCCCAAGGGUAUGGCUGUUCGCCAUUUAAAGUGGUACGCGAGCUGGGUUUAGAACGUCGUGAGACAGUUCGGUCCCUAUCUGCCGUGGGCGCUGGAGAACUGAGGGGGGCUGCUCCUAGUACGAGAGGACCGGAGUGGACGCAUCACUGGUGUUCGGGUUGUCAUGCCAAUGGCACUGCCCGGUAGCUAAAUGCGGAAGAGAUAAGUGCUGAAAGCAUCUAAGCACGAAACUUGCCCCGAGAUGAGUUCUCCCUGACUCCUUGAGAGUCCUGAAGGAACGUUGAAGACGACGACGUUGAUAGGCCGGGUGUGUAAGCGCAGCGAUGCGUUGAGCUAACCGGUACUAAUGAACCGUGAGGCUUAACCUU
RNAcentral lists this ribosomal RNA (2901 nucleotides) under human gut metagenome. Its description in RNAcentral is "bacterial LSU rRNA". It matches the Rfam family "Bacterial large subunit ribosomal RNA". The record is from RNAcentral.